RNAcentral lists this transfer RNA (87 nucleotides) under Ricinus communis (castor bean). It matches the Rfam family "tRNA". From Rfam's summary of the family: Transfer RNA (tRNA) molecules are approximately 80 nucleotides in length. Their secondary structure includes four short double-helical elements and three loops (D, anti-codon, and T loops). The record is from Rfam by way of RNAcentral. Lineage: Eukaryota; Viridiplantae; Streptophyta; Magnoliopsida; Malpighiales; Euphorbiaceae.
GGAGAGAUGGCUUAGUGAUUCAAGACGUAGCAUUAGAACUACUAUGUAAGCUUUUGUUUACCGAGGGUUCGAAUCCCUUUCUUUCCG